This 713-nucleotide ribosomal RNA is filed under the name uncultured bacterium. Its description in RNAcentral is "bacterial SSU rRNA". It matches the Rfam family "Bacterial small subunit ribosomal RNA", at positions 777 to 1500 of the family's 1533-position model. The record is from RNAcentral.
AUUAGAUACCCUGGUAGUCCACGCAGUAAACGAUGAAUGUCAGCUGUCCGGGACUUCGGUCCUGGGUGGCACAGCGAAAGCGUUAAACAUUCCACCUGGGGAGUACGCCGGCAACGGUGAAACUCAAAGGAAUUGACGGGGGCCCGCACAAGCGGAGGAACAUGUGGUUUAAUUCGAUGAUACGCGAGGAACCUUACCCGGGCUCAAACGUGACUGGAAUGUCCGCGAAAGCGGGCAGCCCUUCGGGGCCGGUUACGAGGUGCUGCAUGGUUGUCGUCAGCUCGUGCCGUGAGGUGUCGGCUUAAGUGCCAUAACGAGCGCAACCCCUACCGACAGUUGCUAACAAGCGAAGUUGAGGACUCUGUCGGGACUGCCGGCGCAAGCUGCGAGGAAGGCGGGGAUGACGUCAAAUCAGCACGGCCCUUAUGUCCGGGGCGACACACGUGUUACAAUGGCGGGUACAGCGGGAGGCCAUGCGGCGACGCAGAGCGGAACCCGAAAACCCGUCUCAGUUCGGAUUGGAGUCUGCAACCCGACUCCAUGAAGCUGGAUUCGCUAGUAAUCGCGCAUCAGCCACGGCGCGGUGAAUACGUUCCCGGGCCUUGUACACACCGCCCGUCAAGCCAUGGGAGCCGGGAGUGCCUGAAGUGCGUGAGCGCGAGCAGCGCCCUAGGGUAAAACCGGUGACUGGGGCUAAGUCGUAACAAGGUAAC